AUUGAACGCUGGCGGCAGGCCUAACACAUGCAAGUCGAACGGUAACAGGAAGCAGCUUGCUGCUUCGCUGACGAGUGGCGGACGGGUGAGUAAUGUCUGGGAAGCUGCCUGAGGGAGGGGGAUAACUACUGGAAACGGUAGCUAAUACCGCAUAAUGUCGCAAGACCAAAGAGGGGGACCUUCGGGCCUCUUGCCAUCGGCUGUGCCCAGAUGGGAUUAGCUUGUUGGUGGGGUAACGGCUCACCAAGGCGACGAUCCCUAGCUGGUCUGAGAGGAUGAACAGCCACACUGGAACUGAGACACGGUCCAGACUCCUACGGGAGGCAGCAGCGGGGAAUAUUGCACAAUGGGCGCAAGCCUGAUGCAGCCAUGCCGCGUGUAUGAAGAAGGCCUUCGGGUUGUAAAGUACUUUCAGCGGGGAGGAAGGGAGUAAAGUUAAUACCUUUGCUCAUUGACGUUACCCGCAGAAGAAGCACCGGCUAACUCCGUG
This 490-nucleotide ribosomal RNA is filed under the name uncultured bacterium. RNAcentral describes it as "partial 16S ribosomal RNA". It matches the Rfam family "Bacterial small subunit ribosomal RNA", at positions 30 to 507 of the family's 1533-position model. The record is from RNAcentral.